RNAcentral lists this transfer RNA (72 nucleotides) under Camelus bactrianus (Bactrian camel). It matches the Rfam family "tRNA". Rfam says of the family: Transfer RNA (tRNA) molecules are approximately 80 nucleotides in length. Lineage: Eukaryota; Metazoa; Chordata; Mammalia; Artiodactyla; Camelidae. RNAcentral also lists the same sequence under 2 other names. The record is from Rfam by way of RNAcentral.
GAGGAUAUAGCUCAGUGGUAGAGCACAUGCUUAGCAUGCAUGAAGUCCUAGGUUCAAUCCCUAGUACCUUCA